This 460-nucleotide ribosomal RNA is filed under the name uncultured bacterium. Its description in RNAcentral is "partial 16S ribosomal RNA". It matches the Rfam family "Bacterial small subunit ribosomal RNA", at positions 338 to 795 of the family's 1533-position model. The record is from RNAcentral.
CCUACGGGAGGCAGCAGUGAGGAAUAUUGGUCCAUGGGCGCGAGCCUGACCCAGCCAUGCCGCGUGCAGGAUGACGGCUCUAUGAGUUGUAAACUGCUUUUGUACGGGAAUAAUAGUUCUUACGUGUAGUGUUUUGAAUGUAGCGUAAGAAUAAGGAUCGGAUAAAUCCGUGCCAGCAGCCGCGGUACUACGGAGGAUUCGAGCGUUAUCCGGAUUUAUUGGGUUUAAAGGGUGCGUAGGCUGUUGGAUACGUUAGAGGUCAAAUGUCUGUGCUUAACCCCGUGCCUUCCUCUGAGACUGUUCGACUAGAGAGCGGAUGCAGCAGGCGGAAUGAGUAGUGUAGCGGGGAAAUGCUUAGAUAUUACUCAGAACACCGAUUGCGCAGGCAGCUUGCUAAUCCGCAUCUGACGCUGAUGCACGAAGGCGUGGGUAGCGAACAGGAUUAGAUACCCGGGUAGUC